UGGGGAAUAUUGGACAAUGGGCGAAAGCCUGAUCCAGCCAUGCCGCGUGUGUGAAGAAGGUCUUCGGAUUGUAAAGCACUUUAAGUUGGGAGGAAGGGCAGUAAGCUAAUACCUUGCUGUUUUGACGUUACCGACAGAAUAAGCACCGGCUAACUCUGUGCCAGCAGCCGCGGUAAUACAGAGGGUGCAAGCGUUAAUCGGAAUUACUGGGCGUAAAGCGCGCGUAGGUGGUUUGUUAAGUUGGAUGUGAAAGCCCCGGGCUCAACCUGGGAACUGCAUCCAAAACUGGCAAGCUAGAGUACGGUAGAGGGUGGUGGAAUUUCCUGUGUAGCGGUGAAAUGCGUAGAUAUAGGAAGGAACACCAGUGGCGAAGGCGACCACCUGGACUGAUACUGACACUGAGGUGCGAAAGCGUGGGAGCAAACAGGAUUAGAUACCCCUGUAGUCCCUGAGCGGGCUGGCAAGGCGCAU
This 471-nucleotide ribosomal RNA is filed under the name uncultured bacterium. RNAcentral's name for it is "bacterial SSU rRNA". It matches the Rfam family "Bacterial small subunit ribosomal RNA", at positions 355 to 825 of the family's 1533-position model. The record is from RNAcentral.